Molecule: long non-coding RNA, 4524 nt
Filed under: Sus scrofa (pig)
Lineage: Eukaryota; Metazoa; Chordata; Mammalia; Artiodactyla; Suidae
Description: lncRNA (ENSSSCG00000059986.1)
Source: RNAcentral
UAUGUAUAUCUGUGGACUCUGUCUGAUCAACUGUGUCAUUUGAAGCUGAUAUUUCAUUGUAAUGUAUCUUUGGGUAGAUCUUUUUGAAAUUACCCUAUUUCUUGUAUUUAUAGUUCCAUGUGUUUCAUCAACUUCAUGAUAUUCUUGGGCAUUAUUUCUUCAAAUAAUCUUUUCUAACCCCCCCCCACCUUCUCUCUUUCUUCUCUUUCUGGACUAUGUAAUUGGCAUGUUGGUUCACUUGAUGAUGUUACACAAGUCUCUUGGGCUCUUUCACGUCUAUUUCUUUCUUUUUUCUGUUCUUCAACCUCACUUUCAGUUGUCCUAUCUUCAGUUUUGCUUUUAAUAAUUUCUACCUCUUUGUUGAUAUUCUAUUUUUUUCAUAUAUCAGCUUCCUAAUUUCCUUUGCCCACAUCUUUGCCUAAUUUCUAUGCCCACAUCUUUCCUUAGUUCUUUGAACAUAUUUAAGACAAUUAUUUUAAAGUGCUUGUGUAGUAAGUCUGAUGUCAGAAAUUUUUCAGAGACAACUGCUGUUCAUUUAUAUUGUUCCUUUGAAUGAGCUAUAUUUUUCUAUUUCUUUGUAUGCUUUGUAAUUUUUUUGCUGUAAAAAUUGGGCAUUUGAUGAUGAUAAUUUGUAAUUAGAUUUUCCUCCUCCCCCAAGAUUUGGUCAUUUUUUGAAUUGUUGAAUGCUGUAGUUGUUCAUUUACUUUGAGACUUUUCCAAACUUUUUUUGCACAGACUACUUGUAAUAUGUAAUUGCUGAAGUAUAUUCUAUUAGCUUGUGUGCAGCUAAUGUUUUGACAUAAAUUUACUUGAAUGCCAAGAUCUGAAUCAAACAAAAUAACAAAUAAAUGCCAGAAAACAAAAAAGAGAGAAUAAUCAUCUUUCUCAGCCUUUGUAAGCUAGGAAAUUUCCUCCCUGCCUUUCUAGGCUUGUUCUGAACCCAGAGACCAACCUGAGGUGAAAGGUUAAAGUCUUCUCCAGACUAUUGUGAGCAUACAUCUUGCCUAGGCAUAUGUGAUUUUUACAAUGCUCUGUAUCUAGCUGCUUUUGAAUGUCCUAAUUUUCUGAAGAGUCUCACUCCAGUUUUUCCCUCUAGGCCUUAGAUGGUCUAUUAUACAUCGCUGCCUAUAUAAUCUUUUGCCCUAAGCACCUGCAGGUUUGUAGUCUGCCUUGUAACUUUAACUGCCCGUUUUUCCUACCCUGUUUUUCCUAGUUCUACUUAAUGAGUGCCUUACAUCAGUACUUUAGGUAUCUCUCAGAGAGUUCCUAUAGAAAUUAUAGUCUACAAUGAACUAUUCAGCACUUAUUUAGUCAAUAUAUAUAUUUCCUUGACCUGUUUCCCAAAGGAUUUGUGAUACCUUAUUAGCUAAGUCAAAGUACAGGAUAAAACAUGUAAUAUGAAUUUAAACACAGUGAAAACUGAAAGAAGAAAUUUUAGUGACUAGAAUGAAACAGAUUAUAACACUCAGAUAGUGUAAUUGCCUUUGGUUUCCUGGAAGUACAUGCAAAAGUUAUUCUGUAACAGAGCUGGUAGUUUCUCACAAAAACGUAAAUAAUUAAUUUUUUUUUCUGAAAUGAAAUCCAAGCAAGAAUAUGAUGUAAGUAUUCAUGCAUAAGGGACAUUAAUAAAUCAUAGAAUACCUUUGCUCAUCAUUUCUCAAAAGUUUAAAGAAGCGCUAUUUCAACGAGUGAGUCUUGGAAAGAACCCACUCAUUGGGUACAUGGAGGAGAUACUAUUAUAAUUCAGUGAAGGAAUUUCUGGGAUAAGCUGAGGUAACAACUGCAGGAAACAGAAACUCAAGCAAAACUUUGUUUUAAAUAAGCUUUACUUGGUGACCUAGAAGUACAAACCUAGGGCUGGUCCCCAGGUUUCUCUUUCUGAAGCUGUCCAUGGACCCUGGAUUCUUUCUACCUUGUUGCUCUCUAUAUUUGGACUGUUGAUGUUGUCACCAUGGUAAUGACUAAUGGCUCAGCCCUACACACUCAAUCCAGCCAGUGGAAAGAGGAGAGAAGUAUGGAGAAAUAGUAUACCUUCUUACAUCCCAAUGACUUGUACGUCCUUAUGUGCCCAGACCUGGCUGCAACAGAGAUGAAGAGAUGUAGUUUUAUCCUGGGUGGUCAUAUAUCAGAUAAAAUAAAGAACCUCUUAUAAAAAAGUGACAGUGAGUAUUGGAAGAAAGUAAUCUCUGUCACAACUAGCUUCAGCUUUUUCUCCUUGUGUCUAAAUUAGCAAGGAGGAAGUAAAUGUGUCCAUUAAAAUAUUUCUUGAAAUGUCCUAGAUAUGCUCUAGAUAAACACUAUAUUUUAAAUUGAAAUCUUAUUUUUAUUGAAGUAUAGCUUAUUUACAAUAUUUUAUUAGUUUCAAGUGUAUAACAUAGUGAUUUAAUAUUUUUGUAGAUUAUACUACAUUUAAAGUUAUUAUGAAAUAUUGGCUAUAUUCCCCGUGCCACGCAAUACAUCCUUGUAGCUUAGUUAUUUUAUACAUAAUAGUUUGUACCUUUUAACCUCCUACUGCUAUCUGGUCCCUUCCUCUUUCCUCUCCCCACUGGUUUGUUCUUUGACUCUGUAAGUAUAUUUCUUUCUCUCUCUCUCUCUUUUUUUUGCAAUUGAGAAAGUAAAUUUUAAAUUUUAUUUAACUUUUUAAAAAAUUUUAUUGAAGAAUAGUUGAUUUACAAAAUGUAUUAGUUUCAAGUGUACAGCAAAGUGAAUCAAAAUGGUAAAAACUUAAAACAAAAACAAAAACAAAAAAGUGAAUCAGUCAUACAUAUAAAUACAUCCAUUCUUUUUUCACAUAUAAGUUAUUACCAACUAUUGAGUAGAUUUUCCUGUGCUAUACAGCGGGUUCCCAUUAAUCAUCUAUUUUAUAUAGUAGAGUAUAUAUUUUAUUCCCACCUUUCCAAUUCCUCCCUCUCCUCAACAAUUUCACCUAUGGUAACCAUAAGAUUGUUUUUUAAAUCUGAGAUUUUUGUUUGUUUUUGUUUUUGUUUGCCUUUUAGGGCCACACCUACAGUUUAUAGAAGUUCCCAAGCUAGGGGUUGAAUAAGAGCUACAGGUGCCAGCCUAUGCCACAGCCUCAGCAACAUGAGAUUUGAGCAAUGUCUUCGACCUACACCUUGGCUCACAACAAUACUUGAUCCCCAACCCACUGAGCGAGGCCAGGGAUCGAACCUGCAUACUCAUGGAUACUAGUGGUGUUUGUUACUGCUGAGCCACAACAGGAACUCCCUGAUUCUCUUUUUUAAGUAAGUUCUUUUGUAUCAUUUUUAAAAUUAGAUUUCACAUAUAAGUGAUAUCAUAUGAUAUUUGUCUUUCUGUCUGACUCAUCCUCACUCAGUAUGGUAAUCUCUAGGUCCAUCCAUAUUGCUGCAAAUGGCAUUAUUUCACUCUCUUUUGUGGCUGAAUAAUAUUCCAUUGUAUGAAUCUGAGUUUUGUUAUAUUCAUCACCUGUUGCAUUUUUUAGAUUCCACAUGUAAGUAAUAACAAAUCUUAAAAUACAUGGCUAAGGUGAACAUUUUAUAUCGCUUGUUAACAUACAGGCUCUCAACCUUUGAUUCCAUAUAUGAGGGAGAGAAGAGAGGUUCUCUUUGUGGAAGUAACACAAAUGCCUUUCUUUCCCAGACUGAAUAUUAAGCCAUACUGGUACUGGCUGAUAGGGAAGGCUCAGAGCUUCUUUAGGAAGGAGAGUGGACUAGUCUCAGUCAGUAUUUCUAAUCUAGAGACUAAGAUCAUCCAACUCUAGCCCAUACGGACAGCAGCACUCAAAAUUCUAGAGAUGUCAUUUGGCCUUUGCAUCAGUUAACCGUGACCACAAUGAUGCUGUAAUGAUAAGCCACUUUAACACUUAAUGGAUCAAAAACAACAACCACUUAUUUGUCUCACAGUUGUGUGUAUCAGCUAGGCUCUCUCAGGACUCAGCAGCCAGCUCUAGGUCUCAUUCAUGGGUAGCUGGCUCCCAGGCCCAGACCUUGGCUGGGAGAACUGGGGCAUUUGGCUCUGCUCCCCAUGGGCUCUCACUCUCUGCAAGCUGGCAAGGCAGAGUCAGAGUCAAAGUGAGAGAGGAGGUACGUACAAGGGCUGAAACUGGCACACCUUAGAUCCUGGAAUGUUCUAUCAGCAGGAAUGAGUCACAAGUGCAGUUAAGAGUUAAGGGGUAGGAGUAGGAUGGACUGGGAUUUGGGAGUUAGUAGAUGCAAACCAUUGUAUUUGGUGUGGAUAAGCAAUGAGAUCCUGCUGCAUAGCACAGGGAAUUAUAUUUAGCCACUUGUGAUGGAACAUGAUGGGGGAUAAUGUGAGAAAAAGAAUGUAUAUGUAAGAGUUCCCAUUGUGGCUCAGUGGAAAUGCAUCUGACUAGUGUCCAUGAGGACAUGGGUUUGAUCCCUGGCCUUGCUCAGUGGGUUAAGGAUCUGAGGUUACCAUGAGCUGUGUGUAGGUUGCAGAUUCGUCUCGUAUUUGGUGUUGCUGUGGCUGUGCCAUAGGCUGGCAGCUGCAGAUCUGAUUCAACCCCUAGCCUAGGAACUUCCAUAU